GGAUGAACGCUGGCGGCGUGCUUAACACAUGCAAGUCGAACGAAGCACCUCUCCCGAAGAUUGACACAGCUUGCUGUAGAUUGAUUCAUUUGAGGUGACUGAGUGGCGGACGGGUGAGUAACGCGUGGGUAACCUGCCUCAUAGAGGGGGACAACAGUUGGAAACGACUGCUAAUACCGCAUAGUAAGAAGAAUUCGCAUGUUUUCUUCUUGAAAGAUUUAUCGCUAUGAGAUGGACCCGCGUCUGAUUAGCUAGUUGGUAAGGUAACGGCUUACCAAGGCGACGAUCAGUAGCCGGCUUGAGAGAGUGAACGGCCACAUUGGGACUGAGACACGGCCCAAACUCCUACGGGAGGCAGCAGUGGGGAAUAUUGCACAAUGGGGGAAACCCUGAUGCAGCGACGCCGCGUGAGUGAAGAAGUAUUUCGGUAUGUAAAGCUCUAUCAGCAGGGAAGAUAAUGACGGUACCUGACUAAGAAGCCCCGGCUAACUACGUG
This 496-nucleotide ribosomal RNA is filed under the name uncultured bacterium. Its description in RNAcentral is "partial 16S ribosomal RNA". It matches the Rfam family "Bacterial small subunit ribosomal RNA", at positions 27 to 507 of the family's 1533-position model. The record is from RNAcentral.